UAACAAGGAUUCCCUUAGUAACUGCGAGUGAACCGGGAAGAGCUCAAAUUUAAAAUCUGGCGGUUUUGCCGUCCGAGUUGUAAUCUGGAGAAGCGUUUUCCGCGUCGGACCGUGUACAAGUCUCUUGGAAUAGAGCGUCAUAGAGGGUGAGAAUCCCGUCCAUGACACGGACUCCCGGUGCUUUGUGAUACGCUCUCAAAGAGUCGAGUUGUUUGGGAAUGCAGCUCAAAAUGGGUGGUAAAUUCCAUCUAAAGCUAAAUAUUGGCGAGAGACCGAUAGCGAACAAGUACCGUGAGGGAAAGAUGAAAAGCACUUUGGAAAGAGAGUUAAACAGUACGUGAAAUUGUUGAAAGGGAAACGCUUGAAGUCAGUCGCGUCGUACGGAGCUCAGCCUUGCUUCUGCUUGGUGUAUUCUCCGUGUCGACGGGUCAACAUCAAUUUUGACCGGUGGAAAAGGGCUUAGGGAAUGUAGCGUUGUUUCGGCGACGUGUUAUAGCCCUAGGUCGUAUGCAUCGGUUGGGAUUGAGGACCGCAGCACGCCCUUGUGGCCGGGGGUUCGCCCCACGUUCGUGCUUAGGAUGUUGGCAAAAUGGCUUUAAGCGACCCGUCUUGAAACACGGACCAAGGAGUCUAACAUGCCUGCGAGUGUUCGGGUGGAAAACCCUUGCGCGUAAUGAAAGUGAAAGUUGGGAUCCUUCGUAAGGGGGUGCACCGACGCCCGGCCCUGAAGUUUUCUGACGGUGCUGCGGUAGAGCAUGUAUGUUGGGACCCGAAAGAUGGUGAACUAUGCCUGAAUAGGGUGAAGCCAGAGGAAACUCUGGUGGAGGCUCGUAGCGAUUCUGACGUGCAAAUCGAUCGUCAAAUUUGGG
Molecule: ribosomal RNA, 869 nt
Filed under: Hymenochaete cyclolamellata
Lineage: Eukaryota; Fungi; Basidiomycota; Agaricomycetes; Hymenochaetales; Hymenochaetaceae
Description: eukaryotic LSU rRNA
Rfam family: Eukaryotic large subunit ribosomal RNA
Source: RNAcentral